GACGAAGGGGGCUAGCGUUGUUCGGAAUUACUGGGCGUAAAGCGCGUGUAGGCGGCUCGAUAAGUCUGCUGUGAAAGUUCAGGGCUCAACCCUGAAAUGCCGGUGGAAACUGUCGGGCUAGAGUCCGGAAGAGGCGAGUGGAAUUCCUGGUGUAGCGGUGAAAUGCGCAGAUAUCAGGAGGAACACCAAUGGCGAAGGCAGCUCGCUGGGACGGUACUGACGCUGAGACGCGAAAGCGUGGGGAGCAAACAGG
RNAcentral lists this ribosomal RNA (253 nucleotides) under uncultured bacterium. RNAcentral describes it as "partial 16S ribosomal RNA". It matches the Rfam family "Bacterial small subunit ribosomal RNA", at positions 524 to 776 of the family's 1533-position model. The record is from RNAcentral.